UUUUUUUAAAAGCUUGAUGUUGUGUUCUCUAUUGCUCAUUUCUUUAGUUUCGUAUCCGAAUAAUUUUAUUUACUUUCAAGGACACUGUGGUUUUAACAUUUGAUCUUUUCUCCUUUCUCUACCUUGCUUUAAGCAUAAGGGUAGAAUUUUCAGGUUUCGCGUGGUCAAGAGAAGUUUAUUGGGAAUUAAUUCUUCGAUAAGUUUCCUCCCUAUUCCUUAUUCUCUCAAAUUUUGCAUUGUUUUUCAUAUUUAUCUUUUAUGUUUUCGUGUUAUAUGUCUACUGUAUGUGUGUACUAGAAAAUUAAUUUAUGAAUCCGUUAAUUUCUUUGUUUGUUUUUUAUCUUGAUCUUGCGUUGUGUAUUCCUCAUUUCAUUAGUUUCGUAUCUACAUAAUUUAAUUUCCUUUAACCGAUAUUGUGCCUUAAGAGUUAAUUUUCUUAUUCUCGUUUUUACAUUUGUAAUCUACUCAUUUCGCUACCUUCUAUAAGCGUAAGGGUAGAAUUUUUAGGUUUCCCCAGGAAAAGAAAUGUUUGUUUGGAAAUACUUGUCAGGUAAGUUUUCUCUGUAUCCACUAUUCUCCUCCAUUUUGUAAUGUUCUUCAUUCUUCUCUUUUAUGUUUGAUUGUUAUUUGUUGAUUGCGUGUAUAUAGUAGAUAAUGAAUUUUCAAUCCUUUGAUUUCAUUGUUUUUUUUUUUAGAGCUCUAUGUUGUGGUUUUUAUUACUCAUUUCUUUAGUUUCUUAUCAAAAUAAUUUUAUUUACUUUCAAGGACAAUGUGGUUUUAACAUUUGAUUUCUACUCUUUUCUCUACCUUGUUUUAAGCGUAAGAGUAAAAUUUUUAGGUUUUCCGUGGUGAAGAUAAGUUUAUUGGGAAUUAGUUCUUGGAUAAGUUUCCUCCGUAUUCCCUAUUCUCUCAAAUUUUGCACGGUUCUUCAUAUUUAUCUUGUAUGUUUUCGUAUUAUAUGUCUACUGUAUGUGUGUGCUAGAAAAUUAAUUUUGAUUCUGUUAACUUCUUUGUUUGUUUUUUAUCUUAAUUUUGCGUUGCUUAUUCCUCAUUUCUUUAGUUUCAUAUCUGCAUAGUUUGAUUUUCUUUCAACCAAAGCCUUAAGAGUUAAUUUUCUUAUUCUUGUUUUUACAUUUGAUCUCUACCCCUUUUGCUUCCUUCUAUAAGCGUAAAGGUAGAAUUUUUAGGUUUCCCAAAGAAAAGAGAAGUUUAUUGGAAAAUACUUGUCAGAUAAGUUUCCUCGAUAUACACUAUUCUCCUUCAUUACGCAUUGUAAUUCAUUCUGCUCUUUUAUGUUUGAGUGUUAUUUGUUGACUACAUGUAUGUAGUAGAGAAUGAAUUUUCAAUCUUUUGAUUUCAUUGUUUUUUUUUAGCUUUAUGUUGAGUUUUCUAUUACUCAUUUCUUAAGUUUCUUAUCAAAAUAAUUUUAUUUACUCUUAAGAAAAUUGUGGUUUUAACAUUUGAUCUCUACUCCUUUCUCGACCUUCCUUUAAGCGUAACGGUAGAAUUUUCAGGUUUCCCGUGGUGAGGAGAAGCUUUUUGGGAAUUAGUUCUUGUAUAAGUUUCCUCUGUAUUCCCCUAUUCUCUCAAAUUUUGCAUUGUUCUUCAUAGUUAUCUUGUAUGUUUUCGUGUUAUAUGUCCACUGUAUAUGUGUACUAGAAAAUUAAUUUUGAAUCCGUUAAUUUCUUUGUUUGUUUUUUAUCUUGAUCUUGCGUUGUCUAUUCCUCAUUUCUUUAGUUUCGUAUCAGCAUAAUUUAAUUUCCUUUCAACGAUAUUGUGUCUUGAGAGUUAAUUUUCUUAUUCUCGUUUUUACAUUUGAUCUCUACGCCUUUCGUUACUUUCUAUAAGCGUAAGGGUAGAAUUUUCAAGUGUCCCGAGGAAAUGAGAAGUUUAUUUGGAAAUACUUGUCAGGUAAGUUUCCUCUGUAUCCCUUAUUCUCUUCCAUUUCGCAUUGUUCUUUAUUAUUCUCUUUUAUGUUUGAGUGUUAUUUUUUAAUCGCAUGUAUGUAGUAGAGAAUAAAUUUUCAAUCCUUUGAUUUCUUUGUUUUCUUUUUAAAAGCUUGUUGUUGUGUUUUCUUCCUCAUUUCUUUAGUUUCGUAUCAGAAUAAUUUGAUUUACUUUCAAGGACAUUGUGCUUUUCACAUUUGAUCUAUACACCUUUCUUUAAGCAUAAGGGUAGAAUUUUCAGGUUUCCCGAGGUCAAGAGAAGUUUAUUGAGAAUUAGUUCUUCGAUAAGUUUCCUCCAUAUUCCCUAUUCUCUCAAAUUAUGCAUUGUUCUUCAUAUUUAUCUUUUAUGUUUUCGUGUUAUAUGUCUAUUGUAUGUAUGUACUAGAAAAUUAAUUUUGAAUCCGUUAAUUUCUUUAUUUGUUUUUUAUCUCGAUGUUGCGUUGUCUAUUCCUCAUUUUUUUAGUUUCGUAUCAGCAUAAUUUAAUUUCAUUUCAACGAUAUUGUGUCUUGAGAGUUAAUUUUCUUAUUCUCGUUUUUACAUUUAAUCUCUACUCCUUUCGCUACUUUCUAUAAGUGUAAGGGUAGAAUUUUCAAGUGUCCCGAGGAAAAGAGAAGUUUAUUUGGAAAUACUUGUCAGGUAAGUUUCCUCCGUAUUCCCUAUUCUCUUCCAUUUCGCAUUGUUCUUUAUUAUUCUCUUUUAUGUUUGAGUGUUAUUUGUUGACCACAUAUAUGUAGUAGAGAAUUAAUAUUCAAUCCUUUGAUUUCUUUGUUUUUUUUUUUAAAAGCUUGAUGUUGUGUUUUCUAUUCCUCAUUUCUUUAGUUUCGUAUCAGAAUAAUUUUGAUUUACUUUCAAGGACAUUGUGGUUUUCACAUUUGAUUUGCACUCCUUUCUCUACCUUUCUUUANNNNNNNNNNNNNNNNNNNNNNNNNNNNNNNNNNNNNNNNNNNNNNNNNNNNNNNNNNNNNNNNNNNNNNNNNNNNNNNNNNNNNNNNNNNNNNNNNNNNUGCAAAAUUUAAGAGAAUAGGGAAUACGGAGGAAACUUAUCCAAGAACUAAUUCCCCGUAAACUUCUCUUUACCACGGGAAACCUGAAAAUUCUACCCUUAUGCUUAAAGAAAGGUAAAGAAGGUGUACAGAUCAAAUGUGAAAACCACAAUGUCCUUGAAAGUAAAUCAAAUUAUUCUGAUACGAAACUAAAGAAAUGAGGAAUAGAAAACACAACAUCAAGCUCAUAAAAAAAACAAAGAAAUCAAAGGAUUGAAAAUUAAUUCUCUACAUACAUGCGGUUAACAAAUAACACUCAAACAUAAAAGAGAAGAAUCAAGAACAAUGCGAAAUGGAAGAGAAUAGGGGAUACGGAGGAAACUUACCUGAAGAGUAUUUCCAAAUAAACUUCUCUUUUCCUCGGGACACUUGAAAAUUCUACCCUUACGCUUAUAAAAAGUAGUGAUAAGAGUAGAGAUCAAAUGUAAAAACGAGAAUAAGAAAAUUAACUCUCAAGACACAACAUCAUUGAAAUCAAAUUAAAUUAUAUUGAUACGAAACUAAAAAAAUGAGGAAUAGACAACACAACAUCGAGAUAAAAAACAAACAAAGAAAUUAACGGAUAUAAAAUUAAUUUUCCAAUACACACAUACAGUAGACAUAUAACACGAAAACAUAAAAGAUAAAUAUGAAUAACAAUGCAAAAUUUAAGAGAAUAUGAAAUAUGGAGGAAACUUAUCGAAGAACUAAUUCCCAAUAAACUUCUCUUGACCUCAGAAAACCUAAAAAUUCUACCCUUAUACUUAAAGCAAGGUAGAGAAAGGAGAAGAGAUCAAAUGUUAAAACCACAAUGUCCUUGAGAGUAAAUAAAAUUAUUCGGAUACGAAACUAAAGAAAUGAGUAAUAGAAAACACAACAUCAAGCUUUUAAAAAAAAACAAAGAAAUCAAAGGAUUGAAAAUUAAUUCUCUACUACAUACAUGCAGUCAACAAAUAAUACUCAAACAUAAAAGAGAAUAAUAAAGAACAAUGCAAAAUCGAAGAGAAUAGGGGAUACAGAGGAAACUUACCUGACAAGUAUUUCCAAAUAAACUUCUCUUUUCCUCGGGACACUUGAAAAUUCUACCUUUACGCUUAUAGAAAGUAUCAAAAGGAGUAGAGAUCAAAUGUUAAAACAAGAAUAAGAAAUUAACUCUCAAGGCACAAUAUCUUGAAAGGAAAUUAAAUUAUGCUGAUACGAAACUAAAGAAAUGAGGAAUAGACAACGCAACAUAAAGAUAAAAGACAAAAAAAGAAAUUAACGGUUUCAAAAUUAAUUUUCUAGUACACACAUACAGUUGACAUAUAACACGAAAACAUACAAGAUAAUUAUCAAGAACAAUGCAAAAUUUGAGAGAAUAGGGAAUACGGGGGAAACUUAUACAAGAACUAAUUCCCAAAAAGCUUCUCUUCACCACGGGAAACCUGAAAAUUCUACUGUUACGCUUAAAGGAAGGCCGAGAAAGGAGUAGAGAUCAAAUGUUAAAACCACAAUUUUCUUAAGAGUAAAUAAAAUUAUUUUGAUAAGAAACUUAAGAAAUGAGUAAUAGAAAACUCAACAUAGAGCUCUAAAAAAAAACAAUGAAAUCAAAGGAUUGAUAAUUCAUUCUCUACUACAUACAUGCAAUCAACAAAUAAUACUCAAAACACAAAAGAGAAGAAUGAAGAACAAUACGUAAUGAAGGAGAAUAGGGGAUACGGAGGAAACUUACCUGACAAGUAUUUCACAAUAAACUUCUCUUUUCUUUGGGAAACCUAAAAAUUCUACCCUUACGCUUAUAUAAGGUAGCGAAAGGAGUAGAGAUCAAAUGUAAAAACGAGAAUAAGAAAAUUAACUCUUAAGGCUCGUUGAAAGAAAAUCAAAUUAUGCAGAUACGAAACUAAAGAAAUGAGGAAUAGACAACGCAAGAUAAAGAUAAAAAACAAACGAAGAAAUUAACAGAAUCAAAAUUAAUUUUCUAGCACACACAUACAGUAGACAUAUACACGAAAACAUACAAGAUAAAUAUGAAGAACAUUACAAAAUUUGAGAGAAUAGGGAAUACGGAGGAAACUUAUCCAAGAACUAAUUCCCAAUAAACUUAUCUUCACCACGGAAAAGCUAAAAAUUUUACUCUUACGCUUAAAAUAAGGUAGAGAAAAGAGUAGAAAUCAAAUGUUAAAACCACCUUGUCCUUGAAAGUAAAUAAAAUUAUUUUGAUAAGAAACUAAAGAAAUGAGUAAUAAAAACCACAACAUAGAGCUCUAAAAAAAACAAUGGAAUCAAAGGAUUGAAAAUUCAUUCUCUACUACAUAUACACAGUUAACAAAUAACAAUCAAACAUAAAAGAGAAGAAUGAAGAACAAUGCAAAAUAGAGGAGAAUAGGGGAUACGGAAAAAACUUACCUGACAAGUAUUUCCAAACAAACUUCUCUUUUCCUCGGGAAACCUAAAAAUUCUAACCUUACGCUUAUAGAAGGUAGCGAAAGGAGUAGAUAACAAAUGUAAAAACGAGAAUAAGAAAAUUAACUCUUAUGGCACAAUACCGGUUAAAGGAAAUCAAAUUAUGCAGAUAUGAAACUAAAGAAAUGAGGAAUACACAACGCAAGAUCAAGAUAAAAAACAAACAAAGAAGUAAACGGAUUCAUAAAUUAAUUUUCUAGUACACACAUACAGUAGACAUAUAACACGAAAACAUAAAAGAUAAAUAUGAAAAACAGUACAAAAUUUGAGAGAAUAGGGAAUAGGGAGGAAACUUAUCGAAGAAUUAAUUUUCAAUAAACUUCUCUUGACCACGCGAAACCUGAAAAUUCUAUCCUUAUGCUUAAAGCAAAGUAGAGAAAGGAAAAGAUAUCAAAUGUUAAAACCACAGUGUCAUUGAAAGUAAAUAAAAUUAUUCGGAUACGAAACUAAAUAAAUGACCAAUAGAGAACACAACAUCAAGCUUUUAAAAACAAACAAAGAAAUUAAAGGAUUGAAAAUUAAUUCUCUACUACAUACAUGCAAUCAACAAAUAACACUCAAACAUAAAAGAAAAGAAUGAAGAACAAUGCAAAAUGGAGGAGAAUUGGGGAUACGGAGGAAACUUACCUGAUAAGUAUUUCCAAAUAAACUUCUCUUUUCCUUCACAAACCUGAAAAUUCUACCCUUACGCUUAAAGCAAGGUAGAGAAAAGAGUAGAGAAUAAAUGUUAAAACAUCAAUGUCCUUGAGAGUAAAUAAAAUUAAUUUGAUACGAAACUAAAGAAAUGAAUUAGAAAAUACAACAUAGAGCUCUAAAAAAAACAAUGAAAUCAAAGGAUUGAAAAUUCAUUCUCUACUACAUACAUGCAGUCAACAAAUAACACUCAAAACAUAAAAGAAAAGAAUGAAGAACAAUGCAAAAUGGAGGAGAAUUGGGGAUACGGAGGAAACUUACCUGAUAAGUAUUUCCAAAUAAAAUUCUCUUUUCCUUCGCAAACCUAAAAAUUCUACCCUUACGCUUAUAGAAUGUAGCGAAAGUAGUAAAGAUUAAAUGUAAAAACGAGCAUAAGAAAAUUAACUCUUAAGGCACAAUAUCGUUGAAAUGAAAUCAAAUUAUGUUGAUACGAAACUAAAGAAAUGGGGAAUAGCUAACGCAACAUCAAGAUAAAAACAAACAAACAAAUUAACGAAUUCAAAAUUAGUUUUCUAGUACACACAUACAGUAGACAUAUAACAGGAAUUUCGUGCACCACGCGUGCCACCGUUCGUGCACCAUGGCGUACCACCUUCUGUGCACCGCGGCGUGCCACCAUCCGUGCACCGCAGCGUGCCACCAUCCGUGCACCACAGCGUGCCACCGUUCGUGCACCGCACACGCAAGGACUCAUGCCACCACGCGUCCAAGGACGCGUGCCAUCGCGCAUGCUAAGACACCUUCCACCGUGCAUGCGGUGUUCAUGCAUCGCACGUGCCACAGUCUAUGCACUACACACGCAAGGACUCAUGCCACCCCGCAUGCAAAGACCAGUGCCACCAUACGUGGAAAGACACGUGCCACCGUCCGUGCACCGCACAUGCAAGGCGCAAGGACGAGUGCCAUCGCGCGUGUAAGGACGAGUGCCACCACGCGUGUAAGGACGAGUGCCGCACAUGCCACCAUUCGUGCACGCGUGCCACCGUCCAUGCACCGCAUACACAAGGCACAAGGACGCAUGCCACCGUGCAUGCAAAGACGAGUGCCAGCACGCGUGCAAGAACGUGUGCCAUCGCGUGCAUGCAAAGACGCGUGCACAGUUUCGUGCACCACGCGUGCCACCAUCCAUGCACCUGUGCAUGCCACCAUUCGUGCAUCACGCAGGCCAUCGUUCGUGCAUCGCGCAGGCCACACCGUCCAUGCGGUACAAGGCGCAAGGACACAUGUCACUGCGCAUGCAAGGACAAGUGCCACCACGCUUGGAAGGACAAGUGCCACCGCACAUGUCACCGUUCGUGCACCACGCAUGUCACUGUCCAUGCACCGUACACACAAGACGCAAGGACGCAUGCCAUUGUGCAUGCAAAAACGAGUGCCACCACAAGGGCACAUGCCACUGCGAGUGCAAGGACAAUUGCCAUCGUGGGUGCAAGGACAAUUGCCACCGUGGGUGCAAGGACGCGUGCCACCGUGCAUGCAAGGACGAGUGUCACCGCACAUGCAAGGACGUGUCACCGCACAUGCAAGGAUGAGUGCCACCGCGCAUGCAAGGACGAGUGCCACUGCGCAAGCAAGGACGAGUGACAGCGUGCAUUUAGACGAGUGCCACCAUGCAUGCCACCAUUUGUGCACCGCGCAUGCCAUCAUCCAGAUGGCACACGCAAGGCGCAAGGGCGCAAGGACGCAUGUCAUCGCGCAUGCAAAAACACCACACGUGCUACGCGUGUCACCGUCUAUGCACCGCCCGAGCUACCAUUUGUGUACCGUCCGUGCACCGUGCGUGCCAUAGUCUAUGCACCACGCAUGCCAUCAUCUGCCACUGUCCGAGGAACCGCGUGUGCCACCAUCCGUGCAUCGCACAUGCAAGGCACAAGGACGCAUGCCACUACGAGUUCAAGGAUGCGUGCCACCGCGCAUGCCACUGGACAUGCACCGUUCGUGCCAUGCCACCGCUACACACGCAAGGCGCAAGGACACAUGCCACGACAAAUGCAAAGACUAGUGUCACCACACGUGCAAGAACGCGUACAAGGACGCUUGCACACGUCCGUGCACCACGCGUGCCACCGUCCCUGCGGUGCAAGGCGCAAGAACGCAUGCCACGAACGGUGUCACCACGCGUGCAAGGAUGAGUGCCACCGCGCGUGCCAUCGUCCAUGCACGGCGCGUGCCACCAUCCGUGCACCGCGCGUGCCACCGUCCGUGCACCGCAAAUGCAAGGCACAAGGACGCAUGCCACUGCGAGUGCAAAGACGCAUGCCACUACGCGUGCAAGGACGAGUGCUACCACACGUGCAAGAACGUGUGCCACUGCGCGUGCAAGGACGCGUGCCACCACGCGUGCAAGAACGCGUGCCACCACGCGUGCAAGAACGCAUGCCACCACGCGUGCAAGAACGCGUGCCACCGUUCGUGCACCGCAAAUGCAAGGCGCAAGGACGCAUGCCACUACGAGUGCAAGGACGUGUGCCACUGCGCGUGCAAGGAUGCAUGCCACCACGCAUGCAAGGACGAGUGUCACCAUGCGUGCAAGAACGCGUGCCACCGUCCGUGCACCGCGCGUACCACCGUCUGUGCACUGCAAAUGCAAGGCGCAAGGACGCAUGCCACUACAAGUGCAAGGACGCAUGCCACUACGAGUGCAAGGACGCAUGCCACUACGAGUGCAAGGACACAUGCAACUGCGCGUGCAAGGACGAGUGCCACUACAAGUGCAAUGUUGUGUUUUCUAUUACUCAUUUCUUUACUUUCUUAUCAAAAUAAUUUUAUUUUCUUUGAAGUACAUUGUGGUUUUACAAUUUGAUUUCUACUCCUUUCUCUACCUUGCUUUAAGAGUAAGGGUAGAAUUUUCAGGUUUCCCGUUGUCAAGAGAAGUUUAUUGGGAAUUAAUUAUUCGAUAAGUUUCCUCUAUAUUCCCUAUUCCCUCAAAUUUUGCACGGUUCUUCAUAUUUAUCUUUUAUGUUUUCGUGUUAUAUGCCUACUGUAUGUGUGUAUUAGAAAAUUAAUUUUCAAUCCGUUAAUUUGUUUGCUUGUUUUUUUAUCUUGAUGUUGCGUUGUCUAUUCCUCAUUUCCUUAGUUUCGUAUAUGCAUAAUUUGAUUUCCUUUCAACGAUAUUGUGCCUUAAGUUUUAUAUUUCUUAGUCUCGUUUUUACAUUUGAUUUCUACUCCUUUCGCUACCUUCUCUAAGCGUAAGGCCAGAAUUUUCAGGUUCCCCGAGGAAAAGAGAAGCUUAUUUGGAAAUACUUGUCAGGUAAGUUUCCUCUGUAUCCCUUACUCUCUUUCAUUUCGCAUUGUUUUUUAUUCUUCUUUUUUAUGUUUGAGUGUUAUUUGUUGACCACAUGUAUGUAGUAGAUAAUUAAUUUUCAAUCCUUUGAUUUCUUUGUUUGUUUUUAAAAGCUUGAUGUUGAGUUUUUUAUUGCUCAUAUCUUUAGUUUCAUAUCCGAAUAAUUUUAUUUACUCUCAAAGACAUUGUGGUUUUAACAUUUGAUCUCUUCUCCUUUCUCUACCUUGCUUUAAGCAUAAGGGUGGAAUUUUCAGGCUUCCCGUGGUCAAGAGAAGUUUAUUGGGAAUUAGUUAUUCGAUAAGUUUCCUCCAUAUUCCCUAUUCUCUCAAAUUUUGCAUUGUUCUUCAUAUUAAUCUUUUAUGUUUUCGUGUUAUAUGCCUACUGUAUGUGUGUAUUAGAAAAUUAAUUUUCAAUUCGUUAAUUUGUUUGCUUGUUUUUUUUAUCUUCAUUUUGCGUUGUCUAUUCCUCAUUUCCUUAGCUUCGUAUAUGCAUAAUUUGAUUUCCUUUCAACGAUAUUGUGCCUUAAGUUUUAUAUUUCUUAGUCUCGUUUUUACAUUUGAUUUCUACUUCUUUCGCUACCUUCUAUAAGCAUAAGGGUAGAAUUUUCAGGUUUACCGAGGAAAAGAGAAGCUUAUUUGGAAAUACUUGUCAG
Molecule: long non-coding RNA, 10039 nt
Filed under: Vitis vinifera (wine grape)
Lineage: Eukaryota; Viridiplantae; Streptophyta; Magnoliopsida; Vitales; Vitaceae
Description: long non-coding RNA (VVIN_LNC003542)
Source: RNAcentral